CCCUACGGGGGGCAGCAGUGGGGGAUAUUGCACAAUGGGGGGAACCCUGAUGCAGCGACGCCGCGUGGGUGAAGAAGCGCCUUGGCGCGUAAAGCCCUGUCAGCAGGGAAGAAAAUGACGGUACCUGAAGAAGAAGCCCCGGCUAACUACGUGCCAGCAGCCGCGGUAAUACGUAGGGGGCAAGCGUUAUCCGGAUUUACUGGGUGUAAAGGGGGCGCAGACGGCGAUGCAAGCCAGGAGUGAAAGCCCGGGGCCCAACCCCGGGACUGCUCUUGGAACUGCGUGGCUGGAGUGCAGGAGGGGCA
Molecule: ribosomal RNA, 305 nt
Filed under: uncultured bacterium
Lineage: Bacteria
Description: partial 16S ribosomal RNA
Rfam family: Bacterial small subunit ribosomal RNA
Source: RNAcentral